UACGUAGGGGGCAAGCGUUGUUCGGAAUUAUUGGGCGUAAAGGGCGCGUAGGCGGUUUGACAAGUCUGAUGUGAAAUCUCUGGGCUCAACCCAGAGUCUGCAUUAGAAACUGUCGAGCUAGAGUCCGGAAGGGGCGAAGUGGAAUUCCUGGUGUAGCGGUGAAAUGCGCAGAGUAUCAGGAGGAACACCGAUGGCGAAGGCAGCUCGCUGGGACGGUACUGACGCUGAGACGCGAAAGCGUGGGGAGCAAACAGG
Molecule: ribosomal RNA, 255 nt
Filed under: uncultured bacterium
Lineage: Bacteria
Description: partial 16S ribosomal RNA
Rfam family: Bacterial small subunit ribosomal RNA
Source: RNAcentral